This is an RNA transcript of Centropristis striata (black sea bass), 2146 nucleotides long. It is a transcript of the gene named SH3 domain binding glutamate-rich protein, with no coding region annotated. The transcript is spliced from 5 exons. The record is from RefSeq and is a predicted model, not a curated record. Lineage: Eukaryota; Metazoa; Chordata; Actinopteri; Perciformes; Serranidae.
AGUCCGUGUGGUGCUGCGCCCCUAGGGGCCAACCCGCCAAUCCCGCACUAAUGGAUCCCGGGGACUAAAAUAACCUCAGCAGUGUGUGUGUAUGUGUGUGAUCUCAGUGCUAUGUCUCCGUCCUGGGUGAGCUCUAAUAAUAGAGGAGGCCGCCUGCUCCUUUAAGAGCCUACUUGUUGCACAGGCUACUCUACGAAAUAUAUUGUAACAAAAUGGUUAUCAAAGUAUUUCUCGCCACUUCAUCGGGAUCCACUGCGAUCAAGAAGAAGCAGCAAGAUGUGGUCGGCUUCCUGGAGGCUCUUAAGGUGGAUUACGCUCAGCUGGACAUCGCCUGCAAUGAGGAGAACCGCAUGUGGAUGAGGCAGAAUGUCCCUGAGGAGAAGAAGCCCGCCAACGGCAUCCCCCUGCCCCCACAGAUCUUCAAUGAAGAAGGCUACUGUGGGGACUAUGAGACAUUCUUCGAUGCCAAAGAGGACAACGCUGUGUAUGCCUUCCUAGGGCUGCCUCCACCUCCUGGGUCAAAGGAAGCAGAACAGGCCGACAAGGCGCUCAUAGUGGAGAACGGGACCCAUGCUGAGGAAACUACUGCAGAAGAGAACCCAGAUGAUUCAACAGUAAUGUCGUCGAUACUUUCAUUUCCACUCAUGUUUUGUUUCCCUUCACCCUCUCACCUUUUCCUUUCCAUCCAGUGUGACUUCUGUCCAUACCUGUCGACUUGAACAGACCCUUAAUUUCCUCUCCUCCUCUCGUUCCCAGUCAUCACAUUGACUAAUCUUUUUGUGUUUUGCAUGAGUGAGAACUUUUAGUUCACACUAACACAAUACACUGAGUUGUCAUUAUAACACUGUGACAUUGCAUCACUGUGUUCGGACUGCCACAGAGGUGUGAAGCAUCAUGUUCCAACAAUCCUGUGUACACUUAGCUCUUUACAAAGCUGAGUAUGUUUGAUUUGAUAUGAAACAUUGAUGUUUUGUUUCAAUGCAUACUUCUUGAUUUCAGUGACUUUCUAAUACAUUUCAGUUUGAUCACAUUACAGAUUAGACCCUCUUUGGUCCAUUCACUUUGUACAUUAAAAUCUUGAAAAUUAUGCAUUCCAGAUUCUAAUAAUAUUUAGGUAAUGUUAGUACAGGAUAUGAGCAAACAUUCAUCAUAAACCAGAUUUUACUCCACUUACUUUCUGCUUUGGGAUUUAAAGUAACUAAAGAUUUUCUGGAUUAUAUGGUUAGCUAAAGAUGAUAGAGAUAGAUACUUUAUUCAUCCCUGAAGGGAAAUUAGAUCGUCAUAGCAGUCCAGUAUUUGAAUACAAUAAAAAAUGGAAUAAAAUACUGAGGUAGAAAAAACAAAUAACAGAAAUAACAAUAGGACAAGGACACUUAAAAAAAACACAAGAUAAAUAAAUAGGUAAAUAAGGUGCAGUGGCAAGAUAGCAGUAAUGAUACUGACGAUAUGAUGGUAGUGUUAUUGUUAUUAAACAGUAUAAACAGUAUACAAUAAUAAUAAUAAUAAUAAUAAUAAUAGUAAUAACAGUAAUAUCAGCAUAGUAACAGCAUAUAGUAAUAAUAAUAGUGAUAGCAACAGUAUAUAAUAAUAAUAAUAAUAAUAAUAAUAAUAUACACAUAGAAAUGUGUCAUAUAUUUAGCCUGUGCAAGCUCUGUGACUUCCUUUGACUGUCCCACAGCGUAUAAUGCAGUUCUGCAAACUGAGUUUAUUUAAGGUGCAUCUUCUGUUGCACCCUGUGCGUUUUCCUGCACAACAUUUUUGGCAAAAAAACGCGUAUUUUCUGAGUAAGAUGAAAAAUGAUAUGCCACUCUCAUGUCUGUAAUGUAAAUAUGAAGCUUCAUCCAGUGGCCCGAGAGCUUAGCUUAGCACAAAGACUGGAAAACAGAUAACAAAAUUCACUUACCAGCAUCCCUAAAGCUCUACCUUAACCUAUUAUACCUCAUUGAUUUUAAUCUGCAAUAGCCUUGCACAUACAAAAAAGUGUUGAACUAUUUCUUCUUGACUGAUUCCCACAUGCUGCAAACAGCCUUUCUCAAAUCCAUGAUGCAUCAUUCCAAACCUUUGAUUUUUGUAGAGGAAGUACUGACGCAUCUCCACCCUUUAACUGCUCCUUCUUCCCCUCCUCCACUUCAUUCACAGGUUUGAC